AGCCUGAACGCUGGCGGCGUGGCUAAGACAUGCAAGUCGCACGGGGUAGCAAUACCCAGUGGCGAACGGGAGAGUAAUGAAUCGCUAACGUACCCCGGACUCUGGGAUAGCCAUCCGAAAGGGUGGGUAAUACCAGAUGACAUACCCGCAGGCAUCUGUGGGGUCUCAAAGGUCUGCC
This 178-nucleotide ribosomal RNA is filed under the name uncultured soil bacterium. Its description in RNAcentral is "partial 16S ribosomal RNA". It matches the Rfam family "Bacterial small subunit ribosomal RNA", at positions 26 to 216 of the family's 1533-position model. The record is from RNAcentral.